GGGUUGUGAGGUUAAGCGACUAAGCGUACACGGUGGAUGCCCUGGCAGUCAGAGGCGAUGAAGGACGUGCUAAUCUGCGAUAAGCGUCGGUAAGGUGAUAUGAACCGUUAUAACCGGCGAUUUCCGAAUGGGGAAACCCAGUGUGAUUCGUCACACUAUCAUUAACUGAAUCCAUAGGUUAAUGAGGCGAACCGGGGGAACUGAAACAUCUAAGUACCCCGAGGAAAAGAAAUCAACCGAGAUUCCCCCAGUAGCGGCGAGCGAACGGGGAGCAGCCCAGAGCCUGAAUCAGUGUGUGUGUUAGUGGAAGCGUCUGGAAAGGCGUGCGAUACAGGGUGACAGCCCCGUACACAAAAAUGCACAUACUGUGAGCUCGAUGAGUAGGGCGGGACACGUGGUAUCCUGUCUGAAUAUGGGGGGACCAUCCUCCAAGGCUAAAUACUCCUGACUGACCGAUAGUGAACCAGUACCGUGAGGGAAAGGCGAAAAGAACCCCGGCGAGGGGAGUGAAAAAGAACCUGAAACCGUGUACGUACAAGCAGUGGGAGCACGCUUAGGCGUGUGACUGCGUACCUUUUGUAUAAUGGGUCAGCGACUUAUAUUCUGUAGCAAGGUUAACCGAAUAGGGGAGCCGAAGGGAAACCGAGUCUUAACUGGGCGUUAAGUUGCAGGGUAUAGACCCGAAACCCGGUGAUCUAGCCAUGGGCAGGUUGAAGGUUGGGUAACACUAACUGGAGGACCGAACCGACUAAUGUUGAAAAAUUAGCGGAUGACUUGUGGCUGGGGGUGAAAGGCCAAUCAAACCGGGAGAUAGCUGGUUCUCCCCGAAAGCUAUUUAGGUAGCGCCUCGUGAAUUCAUCUCCGGGGGUAGAGCACUGUUUCGGCAAGGGGGUCAUCCCGACUUACCAACCCGAUGCAAACUGCGAAUACCGGAGAAUGUUAUCACGGGAGACACACGGCGGGUGCUAACGUCCGUCGUGAAGAGGGAAACAACCCAGACCGCCAGCUAAGGUCCCAAAGUCAUGGUUAAGUGGGAAACGAUGUGGGAAGGCCCAGACAGCCAGGAUGUUGGCUUAGAAGCAGCCAUCAUUUAAAGAAAGCGUAAUAGCUCACUGGUCGAGUCGGCCUGCGCGGAAGAUGUAACGGGGCUAAACCAUGCACCGAAGCUGCGGCAGCGACGCUUAUGCGUUGUUGGGUAGGGGAGCGUUCUGUAAGCCUGUGAAGGUGUACUGUGAGGUAUGCUGGAGGUAUCAGAAGUGCGAAUGCUGACAUAAGUAACGAUAAAGCGGGUGAAAAGCCCGCUCGCCGGAAGACCAAGGGUUCCUGUCCAACGUUAAUCGGGGCAGGGUGAGUCGACCCCUAAGGCGAGGCCGAAAGGCGUAGUCGAUGGGAAACAGGUUAAUAUUCCUGUACUUGGUGUUACUGCGAAGGGGGGACGGAGAAGGCUAUGUUGGCCGGGCGACGGUUGUCCCGGUUUAAGCGUGUAGGCUGGUUUUCCAGGCAAAUCCGGAAAAUCAAGGCCGAGGCGUGAUGACGAGGCACUACGGUGCUGAAGCAACAAAUGCCCUGCUUCCAGGAAAAGCCUCUAAGCAUCAGGUAACAUCAAAUCGUACCCCAAACCGACACAGGUGGUCAGGUAGAGAAUACCAAGGCGCUUGAGAGAACUCGGGUGAAGGAACUAGGCAAAAUGGUGCCGUAACUUCGGGAGAAGGCACGCUGAUACGUAGGUGAAGCGACUUGCUCGUGGAGCUGAAAUCAGUCGAAGAUACCAGCUGGCUGCAACUGUUUAUUAAAAACACAGCACUGUGCAAACACGAAAGUGGACGUAUACGGUGUGACGCCUGCCCGGUGCCGGAAGGUUAAUUGAUGGGGUUAGCGCAAGCGAAGCUCUUGAUCGAAGCCCCGGUAAACGGCGGCCGUAACUAUAACGGUCCUAAGGUAGCGAAAUUCCUUGUCGGGUAAGUUCCGACCUGCACGAAUGGCGUAAUGAUGGCCAGGCUGUCUCCACCCGAGACUCAGUGAAAUUGAACUCGCUGUGAAGAUGCAGUGUACCCGCGGCAAGACGGAAAGACCCCGUGAACCUUUACUAUAGCUUGACACUGAACAUUGAGCCUUGAUGUGUAGGAUAGGUGGGAGGCUUUGAAGUGUGGACGCCAGUCUGCAUGGAGCCGACCUUGAAAUACCACCCUUUAAUGUUUGAUGUUCUAACGUGGACCCGUAAUCCGGGUUGCGGACAGUGUCUGGUGGGUAGUUUGACUGGGGCGGUCUCCUCCUAAAGAGUAACGGAGGAGCACGAAGGUUGGCUAAUCCUGGUCGGACAUCAGGAGGUUAGUGCAAUGGCAUAAGCCAGCUUGACUGCGAGCGUGACGGUGCGAGCAGGUGCGAAAGCAGGUCAUAGUGAUCCGGUGGUUCUGAAUGGAAGGGCCAUCGCUCAACGGAUAAAAGGUACUCCGGGGAUAACAGGCUGAUACCGCCCAAGAGUUCAUAUCGACGGCGGUGUUUGGCACCUCGAUGUCGGCUCAUCACAUCCUGGGGCUGAAGUAGGUCCCAAGGGUAUGGCUGUUCGCCAUUUAAAGUGGUACGCGAGCUGGGUUUAGAACGUCGUGAGACAGUUCGGUCCCUAUCUGCCGUGGGCGCUGGAGAACUGAGGGGGGCUGCUCCUAGUACGAGAGGACCGGAGUGGACGCAUCACUGGUGUUCGGGUUGUCAUGCCAAUGGCACUGCCCGGUAGCUAAAUGCGGAAGAGAUAAGUGCUGAAAGCAUCUAAGCACGAAACUUGCCCCGAGAUGAGUUCUCCCUGACCCUUUAAGGGUCCUGAAGGAACGUUGAAGACGACGACGUUGAUAGGCCGGGUGUGUAAGCGCAGCGAUGCGUUGAGCUAACCGGUACUAAUGAACCGUGAGGCUUAACCUUACAACGCCGAAG
RNAcentral lists this ribosomal RNA (2925 nucleotides) under Shigella flexneri. RNAcentral describes it as "bacterial LSU rRNA". It matches the Rfam family "Bacterial large subunit ribosomal RNA". The record is from RNAcentral. Lineage: Bacteria; Pseudomonadati; Pseudomonadota; Gammaproteobacteria; Enterobacterales; Enterobacteriaceae.